Felis catus (domestic cat) is the source of this 8432-nucleotide long non-coding RNA. RefSeq lists it as uncharacterized. The record is from RefSeq and is a predicted model, not a curated record. NCBI's taxonomy places the organism in Eukaryota, Metazoa, Chordata, Mammalia, Carnivora, Felidae. The transcript has 3 exons.
CCAUCUGCCUGACCUCAUUCCCUGCUGGUGAGGGACAACAUGAGGAGACUCUGUCAGGGUUCACAACCUGGCCUCCACACGAGGCGGGCAGAGAGAGACCCAGGCAAGGGGCAGAUCAUUCUAGACUAGUAAGUGGCAGUAACAAGCUUGGGUGAGUAGAUCUUCCGACCACCUGCCAGAAUCUCAACAGUUUACACAGUGGCCUUAACCUGGAGCAGCCACGUGCAUCCUCCAGAUGGUCUCGACAACACUUUGCUCUCUCAAGGAACGCUAAGCCCUUCAAAGCAGCUUUCACUGGGGAAACUGGCGGGGAGGAGCCUCAAAUUGCCCGGAUCUAGCUCGGGGAGCAACCGGCAGUCACGUGCUCCUGAUGGCGUCCUGCAACAACUCCCUCAGUCGCCUGGCGGGAAGCGCUUCCCCACAGCGCGCGGGUGAGAGCGGCCUCAGCGAAGUCCAGAGUGGAGCUAAACCGGCACCAGCUUUCCCCACAACCUGAGUGAGAGCAGGGCCAGGACCGCAACCUGGAGGGCUCCACACGGGGGUUUUCUUGCCACCCAGAGCCAGUGGAGAGUGAGACCCAGUGAGGGUCUCACCCUCGAGUCUGUGAGAGAAGGCAGGCCCCUGGCAGGAGGAAGAGAAGCACAGACAGACCUGCUGGGGCUGAUGCAAGGAAGGGAGCUGCGUAGGCGGCCCCCUCCUACCUGUGGCCGGUGGGCUGCCCUUGCCUCGGUGGUCCUUACGGUCUGAGGCGCGGCCUUGGUCAGUUUCCCGGCUUUUCUCUCGAGGACGCUGUGCGCAGUAGAGGACCUCUCCCGGAUCUUGAGGUUACCAGAAUUAUGCUUGUGUAACAUUCAGCGCUUACCAUGAGAAUAUACACUGAAGAAAUGGACAGUGUGAUGUUUUUAUGCAACUAAGAAAAUGGAAUGAAAAAAGAUUCCUGAUAACAGUGGUUGAAGAUGAAAAGGCUGAUGUGGUUGCUACAGGAAGAGAGAAGGUAAGAGAGUAAGCAUAUGAUACUGAGAAAUCAUGAGGGAUAAUUUUAUGGUAGGCCUGUGUAUCAUGUAAGGAUUUCCAUCUGAACAGUAUUUGCAGGUUAUACACAUGGGAAAUACAGUUUCAUUCAGCUGGACUGUGGAGAAAUGGCUGACAGGGAAAUAACGGGUGCUUCAGCAGAUGGGUAGUCUAACCUGGCAAUAGAUUGACUAGAAUUGGACCUUCAUUCAUUCUAUUUCGUGGCAGAUAUUUAUGGCACAUAUGAUGAACGUAAGAUUCUUUGCUCGUUCAUCAUAAUGGGUUUACACAGUUUAGCUUUCAUAUCAUUAUUUUUGCCUUAAGACUAUAAUAAUACAUUAUAAUUAUGUAUUUUAACUGAUAAUAAAUACAUAAGUCAUUUUCCUACUUACAAAAUGCAAACAUAUUGUAGAAAUAACUACCAUAUUGAAUGGUCAGACUUAGAAAAUUGCAACAUUGAUAAGAAACUAAGUAGGACUUUGUCAUUUGGGGUACAGUGGAAUUUGAGUAGUAAAAAGUAGUAAACAACCCCAUAGCAACUCUACUAAUGUGGAAUACUCAUAUAAGCAUUCUGAUAAUAGGGUAAGUAAUAUAUCUUCUACCAUUUUCUAUGGAAAAAAAUAGCCCUCUCAAUAAUGUUAUCUGAUAUCGUACUGACAGUGGAUCUAUCUAUUUAUUUUUAAAUCAAAUAAAUUGAAGCAUAACCCAUCUCAUUUCUAUAUAAAAAUUACUUUACAAGACAUUUUUCUGAGAACAGAUAUUGAUGGUGAUAAUGAAGAGAAAAGUAUUCGAGGGACCGCUCAGAGGAAUAAAAAUGUAGAAUUUAAAAAUUAAAAAGGAAUGAACUGGAGUUAUUAUAUUUAAAAAAUAAAAAUAAAAAUUGUAAUUACAAAAUAUCUUCCUGCACCUCAGAAUGUAGGGCAUAAUUAAGUAGACAUUGUUUAUUAGUACCACAGGAUUGAAAGUUGGAUUUUUUCCCCCACGGUCUUAAUUUUCAUUACCUCUAUUUCUAAGGUGUUUUUUGUAGCACACUUUUGACUUAGUAUGUUUAUUUUAGAGUGAAGAGGAAAUCUGGGUUUUUAUAAGUUUAUUUCUCCCUCAUACCACAGUGACAAGUUUGGUUGGUUCUCUCAGGCUUUCUCAAGGAGCUGAGUUCCUCCUGUUAUGUGACUUUGCUUCCGUCUCAUAGACUGGAAGAGAGCCAGAACACAGAGUAGGCACACAGGCUCUAACCACCCAGGCCUGUAAGUGACUUAAGUCCCUCUGUUCUUAUUGUUUUGGCCAAUCUCAAUUAUAUGGAUUUUCUAAACUACAUGAGAGGCUGGAGAAUAAUUAUUUUUAUUAGCUUAGGAAGAGGCAAUGAAAGUUUAACAUUUAGCAAUGCUUCCUUCACUCAUUGUUAAACAAUGUGUUGUAUAUAUGCCCCCACCCAUAUAGUAUGAUAAAUGUGCAUAUUAUUGAAAUACAAGUGAAGUUAACAUUGUAAAGAACUCCAGUGUAAAGCAAUCUUAUAUCUUCAUCCUCACAGCCUGUCCUGAGAUAUCUUCUGCUAUCUUCUGUUUCUGGACCAUUAGUGUGUGUGAUGAUAAUCAGAACCUACUUAACAUUCCUUAGGUCUAAAUUUGUUAGACUUCUUGAAUCUUUGCCUUUCAUCUAGCACACAAAGCUUAAAAGGUAAAUCUUGAGAAAGAAGUAGAUCCUAUGUAUCAGGUAGAGAGUGGGGAAAAAGACAUUCAAAAGUAGUGGAAUCAGAGAUUAUUCUCAUGUUAUUAAGUACAAAAGGGCAGAAAAGCAACACAAGGUAGUCAAAAUUUCCAGAUAUGGAAAAGAUGCCUAAUUAUGGAGUAACUUUACUUUGGACUCCUGAUAGCUAAGUGAAGUGUCUAAAUCAUCUUUCAACUUGAGAGAUCAGUGGGACGUUGGCAGUAUGUUUUAGCCCUUAUUUUAAAAAAGUACUUAUUAUAUUUCUUUUGCCUGGAUAUCAUGCAUGUUUUUCCUUUCUAAAUUAACACUUUCACAGCAGCAUUCUAUCUGAACUGUUAUUAAAUGUUAAGAGGAUAAGCACAUCCAUUCUGAAAUAUGUGUAACUGUAAGAACAAAAUCUAUGAUUAUUGCAUUUUAUAUUUGUGAAACAGUAGAUACUCAGAGUAGUCCCACUUUCUGGUUUGGGUCAAAGCUUAGAAGGUUGAGUUUCAUCACAGUUAAAUACAUACCAGAGGUCAUGAAAAUAAAUAGUAAAGAUGGUCUUAGAGCAUAUUUCUUCACAGUCUAAGCCCAACAAUUUUUCUUCAAUAUCAUUAUGUUGCUAUAUACAUAUAUUUUUAUGUGUAAGCUUUUAAAAUUGCAUUUAGUUUUACUAAUGAACACACAUAUUGUAUGUUUGUGCAUUCAGUCUGUUAAUUUCUACUAAUAUGUAAGUCUCAAUGUUUCUGAAAUAAACGGGAAACUCAUGAUAACUGGGAUGGUGUCAUUUCUAGGGCAACAUAAACUUCUAUGGUUCAUUGCUAAUACUUAGCAUAAGUGAUAAUUCCUUUCUUAAGUAUUUUAUAAACAAUCAUAAAUGUAGGUGGUCUGGAAAUUAGCAAUAGCAUCUUAAUGUUAGGUAUAAACAAAGGUAUAAACUUAUUAGCCAGCCUUAAUUAAUAUCCUUAAAUAUUUACAUCAAAUGCAUGGGGUGUAUAUGUUUAAGCAUGAAAGAGUAAGAAAAGUGAAAGGAGAAAGAUUAACAGAAGAAUAAUUAAAAGUAUUAUGACAAAUGAGUAAAAAUUAUACAUAUACACACACACAUAUACAUGAUUUUUGCUAUUUAUGACUCCUUUAGUUUCAAGACUAUUUUUGCAAUAUUUUAUCAGGCAUUUCUGAAGGAUUUACGUUUUUACAUUUAGAAUUGGAAUGAAAUUUCUGAUACAUGAAUUUCAAUAAAUUUUGAAUAUUUCCAAACACAAAGUUUUAUUUUAACUCUUGAGAUUUCCUGAAAUAUGUGUUUUGAGGGAUGUUGAAGAGGAAAACAGCAAUAGGAUCAUGUUUUCCUUUAAAUAUGACAAUAAGACCUAGAAUUAAAACUAUGCUUGUUGUAAAUAUGAAUCAAUAUUCUAUAUUUAGACAUUCCCUUUUCACCUUACAGGACAAUCCCUUAGAAAAUAUUAUCUGUAGAAUUCAGUGAAUCUGUCACCCAAUCUAAUGUAAUCUUUUUAUGAACAUUUCAAAUUAUAACCAUCUGUCUUACAGCUUUUUCAAUAGGUAAUCUUUUUCAUUUAUAACUACAGUCAAGACAUAAUUUGGGGGCAAAAAAUGAAUUAAAAAUGUGCAUCUGCCCCCACUCCCCUUUCUAUAUUUUAUGCAAACUUUCUUAUAUUUUAAUUUCACGUUAACUGCUUUUUCACCUUUUGUGUCUUCCCUGGAUUUCCCUCUGUUCUUGGUUAUACUAGGGUUGUAGUACUAUGGAUGUUGUAAAAAAAGAUUCUGAGAGUAGCUUUGUGGUGAAUUUAAUUUAAAACAGGGAUUAGAAUCUCAGAUAAUACUUAAUAAUUAAAUGAUAUAAUCAAAUUAGUUAUCUAAUCUGAGAUAGAAUACCUUAUUUUUGAUAUUAUCAACAUGAAAUGUAAUUAUAUUUAUUAUAUAGCUGGUACUGAUAAAGAGUGAUGUAUAAAUAGCCAAGGCCAUUACCAUCCAUGUAAUUACAGUCUAAUAUUAUAUUAAGCAUGUAUUAACCUUAGUGAACAUAAUCAUCACAAGCAUAGAUUGUUUUGAUUGGUCUGAAGGAGACUUGCAGAAUUAUGAAAAAGUGAAAUGAAAAGAAUAAAAAGUUAAUGAGUAGUACAUGUAAACAGAUAACCACAAAGCACAUAGAUUUGAAACACAUGAUUAACAAAAUUGAUCUAAAGAAUGUAUAUUCAGUAUUACACCAAAAAGAGCAAGAUAAUGUGUUCACAGAAGUUCAUAUGGAAUAGUUCACAAAUUGUUCUUUAGACUGUAAAAUAAGUCUUAAAAAAUACCAAAGGACUGGCUGAAAUAAUGAAAAUAUGUUCUCUCAGCAGAGUAGAAUUAAAUGAGAAAUUAAGACUAAAUAGAUAAAUAUCCCCAUUGCAACUCCCAGACCAAAAUUUCAAUAACAACUUUAUGACAAUGAGCUCCCAUAAUAAUAUUUCAUGAACAUUAUGAUAAUAAAUUUAAAAUUUUAGAUGAAAUGGAAGUCACUGAAAAAACUGAUAAAAAUAGAAAAUAUAGUCUCAUAUCUAUUAAAUAAAUUAACAUUUUAAUUGAAAUUAUUCCCACAAAGUAAACUCCAGCCCCUUUUGAAUUUUCCAGUGAACUAUCACAUAUAUUUCAGAAAGAAAUAGCAUCAUGAUCACAAAAAAUUUACCAGGAUGUAAAAAAAUAUAGCAGAAACUUUAUUUUACAAAGCCAACAUUAUCAUGAUACUAAUAUGUAACAAAAUCAUUACAAGAAAAAUUAAUUUUAUGUCAAUCCUUAUCAUUUUGGGGUCCCUGCUAUUUAUUUCUAGAAACAUACUGCUAUCAGUGUGGUUGUUGGGCUACCUUUUAAAUUGUUCAUAAUACUGGGAUGUUCAAACUAGUUAGUGGCCUGAUUCCAAAGACUUUGUCUUUGUAUACCUUUUAAUGAAAUAUGGAAAAACAAUUUCACAUAGAUGACAUUAUGUACCUAUAAGAAAUUAUCUGGACAAAAUACUUUUUCUGUUAUUUGCUGAAAGUGAAUCAUGUUGUGUACAGUGUUACAAAAAAUGUUCUGGUAACUUACUGACAUUGACAAUUUUAUGAAAUUCAAUUAUCCUUGAAUUUUAUAUGCAAUUAUAUUACAAAUGAAAAAAAAAAACUUUAUUUUUCUUUCCUGAAAGGAGUGUUAAGUACAAAUUAGUUACAGCAGGGAUUCUGUUUUACAACUCAUUACAAUCUGCUCAACUCACUUCCUGGAGAAGUGCCUAAACUGUAGCUUAAGAAUUACACACUUGGAAAAUUCUUGUUUGCUAUAAUAGAUACACAAAAGUGUUAUGAACCAACAGCGCUGAAAAUUAUUAAAGUGUAUUAUCUUGUUCUUUUGUCACCUACGGUUUAAUUGAUGCCUAUCGUUUGUUUAAUUACUGUAUUUAAAACAUAUUUGUAGUUGGCUCUAACCUACAUAUUAUUCUAUCCUUUCACUUUUCUGGUUCCACAUAAUGAUAAUGCUACUAAUAGCAAGCUGUCUAUUUGGUGUGAGUAUUUUUAGAAAGAAAAAUUAGAAUAUAGGUAGAUCUGUGUAUACACUAGAGUUGAUCUUAAUUCAAUGACUAAACAAAAAUAUAAAGAUCUCGCAUAUAGAUUUUAAAUGAAUAUAAAAUGUCCAUUUAUGUUCAUUAUAAAAAUAUGUAAAACUCUUUGCCUAUUUGUGUAUUUACCAAAUAAACUAACAAACAAAAAUAGACUUAUGUGAAAGGCUAGGGCCUCUUUAAAAAUAAACAAAAUUGAGUUGUCCAGUUUGAUGUAAUUAUGAAUUCAUUCAUAUAUUGUUCUCAUAGCUACAUUUUUGAGAUCAGUGUCUAUACAGCAAGCAGUGAUAAUAGCAGCACACAAUAGUAUGCAUAUUUGUAUUCUCUAAAAAAUAAUUCCCAUUUUCCCUCUCAUUUCAUUAUCAUUAAAAGACACAGAAUAAACCUCAUAAUCUAUAGAAUCAAGGAUUCAAACCUAAAGGUUACAUAUAGCACGUUUGAAAAAUUAAAAUCUGAGGUUGAAAGUAAAAGAAAUAUAUAUGACCAUGUGUGUACAACAUACACACAUACACAAAGCACAUUAUUUAGUUUCAGUUUUGUCGUGAGAAGCCCUCACUAUUCAGAAGGAAGUGGGGGGAAGUACUUUGUAUUAUUAAUCAUGGAGCAGGAUGUAGAAAUAGUAAGACUUGAAUCAAAAUUUAGCAGACUUUGGUUGGAAAAUUAGCGCAUAGUAAGGGAGUAAGGGAAAUAGUUUGGAGAUAAGAUCUAGAAAAAUCACCAUGAAGAAUAUUUGGUAAUUAAGAAUAUUUUAUAAGAAAUAUGGCCUGACUUCUCUAUAUGUGCUGAGAUUGUGCCUUAGGAAAUUUUAAUUGGAUAGUGUUCAACUUUUCUCUCUUCCUGUCUCUAAGUUCUAUUAUAUGUUAAUAUAUCAAUAUAUCAUAAUAUAUGAUAUUGAUCAUAUCAUAAUAUAUCAAUUGAUUUAUAUUGAUACAUUGAUAUUGAUAUCUAUAUUUCAAUAAACCUCCUAUUUGUCUACUAAACUGAAUAGACAUAAAUUCUCUACCAAAUAUUUCCUAAUGACUGAUCAAGACUUUGCAGCCACUGAAAAGGAACUGUCUCUACUUGUUUUCUUAACUGAAGUCUCCAACCCAGAUACUGCUGGAAAAAUAUCCAUGAAAACAAAGAUACAUUGGCUUCUUUGAUUUUAACACUCAAAUAGCAUUAAAGUUAAUCAGUACAGGAAAACAAUUUGGUCAGAUUGAAUCAAGCAAAGCUUCUUUCUAAAAUAUUCAAAUAUAUUUCAAGUGUGAAAGCCUAAGAAAAUGUUACUAGAAAAGUCUUCUGGAAAUAUUUUUUUAACUGCUGACCUGAUCUGGUCUGCUAAGAAUUAACUCACAUUGUAAUUAGAUAUGAUUAUUUUCAUAUUCUAUCAGAUUUCAUUAUCUAAUAUUUGAUUUAAUAUUUUAAGGUCUAUUUUCUUAAGUGAAAUGUUUAACUUCUAUGAUACUCUUGCUCAAAUACACUUUCAGGCUAUACAGUCGUUGGAGAAUAAGCUAUAAAAAUUUACACUGCCUCAUAAAUACAAUAUUUUCUCUAAUUAUUUAUCUUUUGCUUGUUGUUUUUUUAUAUUUCAGCCACAGUACCCUUGUGGUUUAAUUAUAGUUUGGGUGAUUAAUUUUUUUUCUAGUUAUCUGUAAUUUUUCUCUUUAAUUCAUGGUCGAUUCUUUUUCUUGAAAUCUGUUACAAACAUCUGCUAAUCUCUAUUAUACUAGACCAGAGGCUAGCAAUUGUUUUCUAUAAAGGUCUAGAGAGUAAAUAUGUUAGGAUUUCUGGGCUUUACUUUCUCUGUCAUUACUACUCAGCUCUGCUCUUUUAGCACAAAUGUAGCCAUACGUGAAUGAUCAUGGCUAUGCUCCAAUGUAACUUGAUUAACAAAGACAUGCAGUGAGCCAGACUUGGCCUGUGGUCCCUAAUAUGCCCACCCUGUGCUAGAUUUGCAUGCAUCAUAAAGUUUUUCAUAUGAAAUGCUCUAAUGUUCACAUUAACUCAGUUUUAAAUUUCCUUCAUUUUCCCUUUCUACCAUUGCUGGUGUUUUAUAUUUCAGACUUUAUGCAUUUUUUUUUAAAUCAAACCUACUGGGGCACCUGGGUGGCUCAGUCUAUUAAAGGUCCCACUUUGGCUAAGGUUAUGAUCUCAUGGUUUGUGAGUUCAAGCCCCA